Molecule: ribosomal RNA, 465 nt
Filed under: uncultured bacterium
Lineage: Bacteria
Description: partial 16S ribosomal RNA
Rfam family: Bacterial small subunit ribosomal RNA
Source: RNAcentral
CCUACGGGAGGCAGCAGUGGGGAAUUUUGCGCAAUGCUCGUAAGAGUGACGCAGCGACGCCGCGUGAAUGACGAAGGCCUUCGAGUCGUAAAGUUCUUUCGACAGGGAAGAAAAUGCCUAUAAUUAACUGUGUAUGUAUUGACGGUACCUGUAUAAGCAGCCCCGGCUAACUCCGUGCCAGCAGCCGCGGUAAUACGGAGGGGGCGAGCGUUGUUCGGAGUGACUGGGCGUAAAGAGCACGUAGGCGGUGUUGUAAGUCAUUAGUCAAAGACUAGAGCUCAACUUUAGUAAGGCUAGUGAUACUAUAAUACGAGAGUAUCAGAGAGGAUUGCAGAAUUCCUGGUGUAGCGGUGAAAUGCGUAGAUAUCAGGAGGAAUACCGUUAGCGAAGGCGGCAAUCUGGCUGGAAACUGACGCUGAGGUGCGAAAGCGUGGGUAGCAAACAGGAUUAGAUACCCUAGUAGUC